AGGACGAACGCUGGCGGCGUGCUUAACACAUGCAAGUCGAGCGGAAAGGCCACUUCGGUGGUACUCGAGCGGCGAACGGGUGAGUAACACGUGAGUAAUCUGCCCUCCACUUUGGGAUAGCCACCGGAAACGGUGAUUAAUACCGGAUAUGACCUCGGCCCGCAUGGGUUGUGGUGGAAAGUUUUUCGGUGGGGGAUGUGCUCGCGGCCUAUCAGCUUGAUGGUGGGGUAAUGGCCUACCAUGGCUUCGACGGGUAGCCGGCCUGAGAGGGUGACCGGCCACACUGGGACUGAGACACGGCCCAGACUCCUACGGGAGGCAGCAGUGGGGAAUAUUGGACAAUGGGCGAAGCCUGAUCCAGCAACGCCGCGUGAGGGAUGACGGCCUUCGGGUUGUAAACCGUCUUUCAGCACAGACGAAGCGAAAGUGACGUAUGUGCAGAAGAAGCACCGGCCAACUACGUGCCAGCAGCCG
This 474-nucleotide ribosomal RNA is filed under the name uncultured soil bacterium. Its description in RNAcentral is "bacterial SSU rRNA". It matches the Rfam family "Bacterial small subunit ribosomal RNA", at positions 26 to 517 of the family's 1533-position model. The record is from RNAcentral.